RNAcentral lists this ribosomal RNA (429 nucleotides) under Gemmatimonadota bacterium. RNAcentral's name for it is "Gemmatimonadetes bacterium partial 16S ribosomal RNA". It matches the Rfam family "Bacterial small subunit ribosomal RNA", at positions 355 to 776 of the family's 1533-position model. The record is from RNAcentral. Lineage: Bacteria; Pseudomonadati; Gemmatimonadota.
UAGGGAAUCUUCGGCAAUGGACGAAAGUCUGAACGAGCAACGCCGCGUGAGUGAAGAAGGUUUUUGGAUCGUAAAACUCUGUUGUUCGAGAAGAACAAGGACGUUAGUAACUGAACGUCCCCUGACGGUAUCUAACCAGAAAGCCACGGCUAACUACGUGCCAGCAGCCGCGGUAAUACGUAGGUGGCAAGCGUUGUCCGGAUUUAUUGGGCGUAAAGCGAGCGCAGGCGGUUUCUUAAGUCUGAUGUGAAAGCCCCCGGCUCAACCGGGGAGGGUCAUUGGAAACUGGGAGACUUGAGUGCAGAAGAGGAGAGUGGAAUUCCAUGUGUAGCGGUGAAAUGCGUAGAUAUAUGGAGGAACACCAGUGGCGAAGGCGGCUCUCUGGUCUGUAACUGACGCUGAGGCUCGAAAGCGUGGGGAGCAAACAGG